UACGGAGGGUGCAAGCGUUAUCCGGAAUCACUGGGUUUAAAGGGUGCGUAGGCGGCUUGAUAAGUCAGGGGUGAAAGCUUCCCGCUCAACGGGAGAACUGCCCUUGAUACUGUCAGGCUCGAAUUGGGUUGAGGCAGGCGGAAUGUGGCAUGUAGCGGUGAAAUGCUUAGAUAUGCCAUAGAACACCGAUUGCGAAGGCAGCCUGCCAAGCCUUGAUUGACGCUGAGGCACGAAAGCGUGGGGAGCGAACAGU
RNAcentral lists this ribosomal RNA (253 nucleotides) under uncultured bacterium. Its description in RNAcentral is "partial 16S ribosomal RNA". It matches the Rfam family "Bacterial small subunit ribosomal RNA", at positions 524 to 776 of the family's 1533-position model. The record is from RNAcentral.